CCACAAGCCAUUAAGACACCUGUUGAGAUUUUUUUUUAAUAAUUUUACUAGUAUAAUGCCAGCUUCAAUAUCAUCUUCCCACACAUACUGUGGAUACUAUUACUGUAUCUUUAAGAGGGAAUAGAAUCUUGGGAGAAAGAUAGCUUAAUUGUUAUCUUGAGAAUUAACUGUCAUGACUAGAAAGAAACUGAGAGUUAGAAAGAGAAAGAACUAAAACAACUUCUUUCCUGAGAGACUGACAGAAGGGAGUUAACUGUCAUUUUCGAGAAAGACUUGAAGCAGCAUUUCCUGAGAACUGAAUAUGCUGUGGAGAAGCCAUACUAACUAGAAUUCUUGGGAGAUUUUUGACUGCCAUUCUGAGAGAAUAAAACGGUGGUGGGACUAUAUUUCCAACAGUUGAGGAGAAUUCACUUCUCUCUUUAAAAGAAAAUGAGUGGGGACCAUGCAAGAUACCAGCCUCCUUUUGACUAUGGGCUACUGCUGGAGGAAGAAGCCCCGCUAUCCCGGAAGAGCUCAAGGAGGGGAUGGAUACUUGAAGACUUGGAGCAAGAGCUCACAGAACUAGGCAUUCCCUUAGGUAACCCACCAGGACUGGAUCCAAGUGGGCAAAGACGUGAUGUCGACUCUUUUCUACCACCUAUUUUUGCUCCCUGUUUUUGUGGAUGUGUCCUGAGAUCAAAGUCUGUGCUGAACUCCCGCCCCUCUUCAGCCACUUCCCGAGCCACCACCCCCGAAUCAGGACCUACCAUGGUCCAACCACCAACUAGGUUUGCAACUCCAUCGGGUUUUCACACAACAACCCAGACUGGAUCUCCAGCUCCUCCUUCUGGGAGGAGAUCUCAAGCUCCGAGAAACCCUCCACCCAUACGACAAUUAGUCCCACUGCCUGUUUGGCCCCAACCCUUUCAUUUUACCAUCCCUAAGACCAAUCCUCCAAGGGUUCACAACCCUCCUAUUGAAUGUCUAGGUUCCAGCUUUCCGAGGUGGAGAAAGAAAAAACAGUCCUCUUUGCCUUCUCCUUCUCCUAUCUUCAAUCCCCUUAAAAUAAAGUGUAGUAUUUGAUGCAACAAUGUUGUCUUUCUUUUGUGACUGAGAAGAGCAUAAUUGAAUUCAUCAUGUAUAGAAAUGAUUUAAAAAAAUAACACUUUAUGUGCGUCUAAUACUUGGUGAUUAUUAUAUUAUUUGAUCAUCAUAGGUGGUUCAAUAGAAUAAGCAUUUCAUCCAAGUAUUACAUGUGGCUUGCAUUUAAGGUUAUUUGCAAAUGAAAACAUUGAGAGAUGUUGUGACUUUGGCAAGGUCACAUAGUUGAGAAUCCCAGAAUUUCAAAUUGGGUGAUAAUUAAAAGUUUUAAAUUAUCAAGUCCUCUUAUUUUACAGAUGUGGAAACUAAGAAAAUAUUCUGCUUCCCAUUUAGAUGAGGAAAAGAUUAGACUGAAGAAGGAGCAGGAAAAGACUUUGAGCUGAAGAAAAGGAAAUUGUGAAGAAAGUAAAGGUUUGAGAAUUGCAAAGAAAGCCAGAGUUUGAAUUUGGAGAGGAUAAACUAUGGCAGGACUUGAGGAAAAAUUGAAGCAAGGGUUGGGAGGAUUCUUCAAAGUUGAAAAAGUAGGAUCUAGCACUGAAGGACCAUAGAUAAAGGAUCCUAAAUUGAUAGCUCAAAAAGAGUGAAGUGGUAGUCUAGCCCCCAGCUUCUUAAAUUAUGGGUGGCAACCCCAUAUGGGAUUCUGCACCUGAAUGUGAGAGUCCCAAAAUUAUUUAUUAGAAAAUGUUUGAUUUGUACACCUAUUUUAUAUAACAAAUCAGGGAAAAGCAAAAAAUUUCUCAGGUGAAAAGGAAUGAUGAGUGUUACAAAUUUAAGAAACCCUGGUCUAGCCCAUCUUUCAUUUUUCAGAGAAAAAGACUUCAAAGAGAAAAACUCAGAGGAAAAGGAAGAAAAAGGCAGAGCUGAAAAAGGAAAAAAAGAGAAAGGGAGUUGGUAAGGUAAAUAAAAUAUAGAUGGGGCUACCAUGAGUGAUAAGUAACAGAGGAACCUCAAUCUUAGCCCUCCAACUAGAAUUUGCAGUGAUUUGAAUGCAAAUUUCAUAUUUCUGUCAAAAUCAAGUAAUUGAUCUUUGUACAAAGUAUAAACUGGUCUUCUUCCUAGAAAAGAAGUUAAAGAAAAGGGUUAGGGAUUCUCAGAUUAUCAGAAAGAAAAAAGAA
This is a long non-coding RNA of Sarcophilus harrisii (Tasmanian devil), 2195 nucleotides long. Lineage: Eukaryota; Metazoa; Chordata; Mammalia; Dasyuromorphia; Dasyuridae. The record is from Ensembl.